CAGAGUCUUAUUUCUCUUCUUUCUUUCUUUCCAUUGUUUUUGAUUUGAUGUUACAUGAUUGAUAACAGCAUUUUGUGCCAUGGGAAUCUUGCUCUCUUUGACUGUGCUGGUUACCUCUGCUUUUUCACAGAAGAAGCCAGCCAAGAGUCUCUAAAAGAUGUCUUGAAUGAUCUCAGUGAAGAUCCAGGAUCCCAGGAGAUCAUUUGCAGCUCUUUAACAAGAAAAAGCUCCAUGUUUUUGUACAGGUUGCUAAUCAUAUUUCAAACCAGAACCACCCGCUGA
This 282-nucleotide long non-coding RNA is filed under the name Zonotrichia albicollis (white-throated sparrow). RNAcentral's name for it is "lncRNA (ENSZALG00000016335.1)". The record is from RNAcentral. Lineage: Eukaryota; Metazoa; Chordata; Aves; Passeriformes; Passerellidae.